CACACUUAGUCCCAUAAUAUCUCAUCUUUGAUUUACAGCUACAUUAUUGCUACCCAACAAGCAUCAGAUGACCGAAUUAAAGGGAUUAAGUUCUAAAGUUGUGGAUAAUAUGGAUAUUCAUAUAUCUGCACCACCCAAAUUCCUUUUUCUCUCUGAAUAUUCAUAUAUCUGCACCAAAAUGAAAUAUUUCCGGUAAAAAUAACUAUAAAUUUUCUGAACACUGAACCAGGUGUACUCAAGAUAUUGAAGUUUAAUUCUAGUUUCAUACAUUGAAAUCAUUUAGCAUUGGAAAAUCACAAAUUCCAUCACAUUCAGAGUAGAAAAUCCUAAUUUAUAGCCAAUAAAAUGAGAAUAAAUUGAACAUGGUCCAUCAAAACAGAAACAUAAGAAGUCUGGAAUUCAACUUAACAACCCACAAGUCUUCACCUACAAAACUAGACAUGAUUCCUCAAGCUUUUUACUACUUCUCAGAUGAGUUAGGUCCCGUCUUCUUUCCAAAGCCAACAACUGCAACCAGUUACAAACAAAAUCAGGAAUAAAAUACAAAGACAUUUCAAUCAAAGAUUUGGGUGCCAAUUACAAGGAAAUUGAUUGUGCGGGUACCCAUCUACAACGGAUUGUAGCCAUCUAUUAUCUAUUAGUAGUCAACCCACUUUUCUCCAACAACUCCACAACUAUCUAUUUCAUGGUUUAUAGCAUCCAUAAUAAACAACAGUUUCCUAAGAAUAAAUUUAAAAGAAUGAUUAAGUCCACACUCAAUAUAAAUAAUAUAGCAGGCAGAAAUAAAACAACGAUUGUGUUCAUACAAUCAACAAUAAAACCUCUUAGGUAGCUCAAGUCGGAUUGAGUUUAACUUUUUAUCAAAUGACAAAUCAAUAACCUUGAAAGGGCUUACCAUAAUAUCCUUUUCAAAGAUGAUAGUAUUUUAUAGAAGCAAUAAGAUGCAAACAAUGACUCUAAAUAAUACAAUUUGGCCAUUUUGGAAUUGACCCAAAAAUAUCCUUCAAUUUGAAACAGUCAACUUUUCCCAAAAAGGGAAGCCCAAAUAUUUCUUAUGUUUACCAACUCCACAAUCGAGCAUAAUCUUUAUCCUUGAUAUUAUUCUAUUUCAAUCACAAAUUUUAGUCUUAAAAAUUAAACAUUAAGAAGAGUACUGUGCCACCUUUUUAACAUGAAUAAAAGAAGACAAAAGUUCUGAAACUCUUUUUUUCGGACUCACAAUUUGGGAUAGAGUCGUAGAGUAGUACCAUUCAAAGUUUUUCCUGUCAAGUGACCUCAAAAAAUAUCCAGCCAAUAAAGAAAGAAGACCCACAUACCAAUCAAGAUAUUAAAAGCCCCAGGUUUGCCACAAAUGGAGUAUUAAAUUACACAUACCAUUUAAAAAAGAAAUUGAAACCACAAUCAAAAAUUAAACCAAGAUGCACUCUAUAAUUACUGUUAAUACAAAAUUAACCCAGUCCAAGUCUCUGUUUGGUCUGUUUUGUUUGUGUUACGGCUGAGAUUUUUAGAGAGAUGAACAAAAUUGGAAAAAAUAUAAACCCUAGAUUCAUACCUGAUUGUUGUUUGCAGAGAGCGAUGGUGGUGCUGAGAUGGUUAAGGAGCAGCGGAAGAGACGCGAAAUCGGAAGAACUAGGUCGCGACGAGAGAGAGAUGGACACGGGAGGGGUUUUUUUGCACGGAGCGAUGGUGAGGCAGAGUGUUAUGUUUUGUCUGAUAAGUUGAAGUGAAGAGACAGAAAAAAUAAGAGGACAUUAUAUAGGUAAGCAAAGUAUGUAAGGAUUAGGGUAAGCCCCUGAUCCGGACUCUCUCUCUCUAUAUAUAUUUGUUAUUACCUUUAGUUUUGGAUCAACAAGGCCUAAGCAGAUUUUAAUUUUUACAGCAGUUAUAAAACUGGUGGAAAGAAACCAAGUGCAAGGGAUUAUGGGAAUAUUUUCACCAGAAGAAGCUGCUCUAGUCUCUGAAUUUAAUAAGUUCACCAGUCACCACCAUAAUUUCCUUAGCUCCAACUGCAAUAUCCCCACCGUUAAUGCCACCUGCAGAGCCCCAAUUUUUCUGUUAGAAUAUUUUAUUCUUAUGUGGCCUCUACUAUUUA
RNAcentral lists this long non-coding RNA (2092 nucleotides) under Panax ginseng (ginseng). RNAcentral's name for it is "long non-coding RNA (PGIN_LNC001035)". Lineage: Eukaryota; Viridiplantae; Streptophyta; Magnoliopsida; Apiales; Araliaceae. The record is from RNAcentral.